Alosa alosa (allis shad) is the source of this 901-nucleotide long non-coding RNA. RefSeq lists it as uncharacterized. The transcript has 3 exons. Lineage: Eukaryota; Metazoa; Chordata; Actinopteri; Clupeiformes; Clupeidae. The record is from RefSeq and is a predicted model, not a curated record.
GAUACUUGGCUUUGGCUUUAGGGACCCUCUACUCACUACCACGACUCUGGAUCAUUUUAGCAUUCAGGCCGUUGUCACUCUCAUGUUGGUCCAGGACAAGAGGCUCAUAGGUCCGACGAUAAAACAGCCGGGUCACCAGGGUGCACAUCUCUGGUGUGGCAUACUUACUGGACCCCCGGGCAAUGGAUGAAAAGGGUGGAGAGCAAGCGAUGGUCCCGUCCAGAGACAGGAUGCUGAUGAUGGCCGCCUGUAGCUGGCUCAACACCAACACCAACUGAACACCCACACAGGAAUUAGCCACAGCAGUGUCAGUCUAAUGUCUCUUUACACAUCACAGUUCACGUAUAAGAUGGUCUUCAAAAAUAUUAAAGUUAUUCAUGCCGUACUGAGGUAUGGUAAAGGAAGUCCAUUAUGUUGAUAUUAUAUACCUCUGCUCAGUAAUGUUUUGUGUUUUUUUUAUAUGUUAAUGACAAAUUGCACUUAUGAACAGCAGUCUGAUUUCACACACUGGGUGUGAGGAUAUGAAGGUGUUAAACUCAAGCUGUGCAGUAAGUGACUCAGACAAACCUGGUACAUGGCAUACUUGGGGAUGAUCUUGAGACUUUGCAGGGUUUUUACCAGAUGCAUGAACAUAAUGGAGACAGGCCACAGGGCUGUUAUGGUAAGGACUCCAAUGAACGGGUUUAUCCAGAUCGCAGCUCCUGUAAUCUCAAGCUGAAUGCAGAGGAACAGAUGAAGUGGAGACAUCAGUAAGGGAAACUUUGACAGCGGGAAAGAGAAACUCAGUCACCUGGACUGCAGAUGGAAAUGAUCUUAUAGCUAUAAUCUGAUACGAGGCAUCUUCUCUCACUCCUGAGAUUAAUGUAUGGUCCCUGAUACAAAUAAACCAUAUCAACCAAUC